GAUCAACGCUGGCGGCGUGCCUAAUGCAUGCAAGUCGAGCGGGGUGGGCUUCGGCGCACUUACGCGGCGGACGGGUGCGGAACACGUGGUCAACCUGCCCUGAGGUGGGGGAUAGCCGUGGGAAACCGCGGGUAAUUCCGCAUGGGUUCGGGUCCCGGUGGGGGACGUGAGCAAAGGGUCUUCGGAUCCGCCUUGGGAGGGGACUGCGGCCGAUUAGCUA
This 220-nucleotide ribosomal RNA is filed under the name uncultured bacterium. RNAcentral describes it as "partial 16S ribosomal RNA". It matches the Rfam family "Bacterial small subunit ribosomal RNA", at positions 28 to 247 of the family's 1533-position model. The record is from RNAcentral.